GAUGAACGCUGGCGGCGUGCCUAAUACAUGCGAGUCGAGCGAACAGACGAGGAGCUUGCUCCUCUGACGUUAGCGGCGGACGGGUGAGUAACACGUGGAUAACCUACCUAUAAGACUGGGAUAACUUCGGGAAACCGGAGCUAAUACCGGAUAAUAUAUUGAACCGCAUGGUUCAAUAGUGAAAGACGGUUUUGCUGUCACUUAUAGAUGGAUCCGCGCCGCAUUAGCUAGUUGGUAAGGUAACGGCUUACCAAGGCAACGAUGCGUAGCCGACCUGAGAGGGUGAUCGGCCACACUGGAACUGAGACACGGUCCAGACUCCUACGGGAGGCAGCAGUAGGGAAUCUUCCGCGAUGGGCGAAAGCCUGACGGAGCAACGCCGCGUGAGUGAUGAAGGUCUUCGGAUCGUAAAACUCUGUUAUUAGGGAAGAACAAAUGUGUAAGUAACUAUGCACGUCUUGACGGUACCUAAUCAGAAAGCCACGGCUAACUACGUG
This 497-nucleotide ribosomal RNA is filed under the name uncultured bacterium. RNAcentral describes it as "partial 16S ribosomal RNA". It matches the Rfam family "Bacterial small subunit ribosomal RNA", at positions 28 to 507 of the family's 1533-position model. The record is from RNAcentral.